This 405-nucleotide ribosomal RNA is filed under the name uncultured bacterium. RNAcentral describes it as "partial 16S ribosomal RNA". It matches the Rfam family "Bacterial small subunit ribosomal RNA", at positions 28 to 526 of the family's 1533-position model. The record is from RNAcentral.
GAUGAACGCUGGCGGCGCGCCUAAUACAUGCAAGUCGAGCGAAGCGGGGACGGGUGAGUAACACGUGGAUAACCUCCUAUAAGACUGGGUUAACUUCGGGAAACCGGAGCUAAACCGGAUACUAAAAGAUGGAUUCGCGGUGCAUUAGCUAGUGGGUAAGGUAACGGCUUACCAAGGCAACGAUGCAUGGCCGACCUGAGAGGGUGAUCAGCCACACUGGAACUGAGACACGGUCCAGACUCCUACGGGAGGCAGCAGUAGGGAAUCUUCGGCAAUGGGCGAAAGCCUGACGGAGCAACGCCGCGUGAGUGAUGAAGGUCUUCGGAUCGUAAAACACUGUUAUUAGGGAAGCGGUACCUAAUCAGAAAGCAACGGCUAACUACGUGCCAGCAGCCGCGGUAAUUC